GUUAGGGUGAUCUGGCUACAGCAUCUACCAUCCCACUGGUGGUCGGACUUGAUUCAGCUAAUCUGGCUGGCUAGGUGUCCCCUUCCUCUCUCUUACCACCCCAUUUAGAUAUCUUCCCAAGCUGCACACUUGGUUGAAGAGGAUGACCUUCCCCAAUAGAGGAGGACCAGGCCAUUCUUCUGUCAAAGGUAUAUAAGUAGAUGUACUCCCCUACUAGAACCUCCAAAGAAGCUCUUGAGGUCAAUUGGCACAAAAAAUAUAGUUGGAUAGGUACAAGCAUAUUUGAUAACACAACAAAGUAACUACAACCAACCAUAAGUUAGGGUACACUU
Unclassified non-coding RNA from Otolemur garnettii (small-eared galago), 332 nucleotides. Its record names the gene 7SK. It matches the Rfam family "7SK RNA". From Rfam's summary of the family: 7SK was discovered as an abundant small nuclear RNA in the mid-70s but a possible function has only recently been suggested. Two independent studies have found that 7SK RNA binds the CDK9/cyclin T complex (known as elongation factor P-TEFb). Lineage: Eukaryota; Metazoa; Chordata; Mammalia; Primates; Galagidae. The record is from Ensembl.